This 889-nucleotide ribosomal RNA is filed under the name Jellyella tuberculata. RNAcentral describes it as "partial 18S ribosomal RNA". It matches the Rfam family "Eukaryotic small subunit ribosomal RNA", at positions 945 to 1831 of the family's 1831-position model. The record is from RNAcentral. Lineage: Eukaryota; Metazoa; Bryozoa; Gymnolaemata; Cheilostomatida; Membraniporidae.
GCGAAAGCAUUUGCCAAGAAUGUUUUCAUUAAUCAAGAACGAAAGUCAGAGGUGCCAAGGCGAUCAGAUACCGCCGUAGUUCUGACCGUAAACGAUGCCAACUGGCAAUUGGGCGCACUUCUAUAGAAGUUGCUGCCAGCAGUAUUGCCCGGGAAACCAAAGUCAUUGGGUUCCGGGGGGAGUAUGGUUGCAAAGCUGAAACUUAAAGGAAUUGACGGGAGGGCACCACCAGGAGUGGAGCCUGCGGCUUAAUUUGACUCAACACGGGGAACCUCACCCGGCCCGAACACUGUUAUGACAGACAGGUUGAGAGCUCUUUCUCGAUUCAGUGGUUGGUGGUGCAUGGCCGUUCUUAGUUCGUGGAGCGAUCUGUCUGGUUAAUUCCGAUAACGAACGAGACUCUUGCGUGCGAAAUAGACGGCGCCGACCCCGUCGGCGACCGUUUGCUUCUUAGAGGGACAAGCGGCUUUUAGCCGCGUGAAGCCGAGAGCAAUAACAGGUCUGUGAUGCCCUCAGAUGUUCGGCACAGACAGCGCCGCCGCUACACUGUCCGCGGCAUCGUUCCCAUCUACCUGGCCAGGAUUGCCGGGAACUGCGCCCAAUCGCUCAGGUGCUUAGACUCAGAGAUUGCAAUUGUAACUCCGUCAACGAGGAAUUCCAUGUCCCCGCCGGUCCAUCAGCUCGCGGGGAAUCGGUUCCUGCCCUUAGAUCUCACCGCCCGUCGCUACAACAUAUUAAGUGGAUUUGGUAAGGUUCGAAGACGACCGGAAUCGGACGCUAGUCGCCCAACGCAGACAGGUUGCGAUACGAACUAUCACAUCUAGGAAGUAAUAGACGUAACAAGGUUUUCGAAUCUUGACAUGCGGAAGGAUACAAUCUCUAGAGGAUC